RNAcentral lists this unclassified non-coding RNA (329 nucleotides) under soil metagenome. Its description in RNAcentral is "partial contains 5.8S ribosomal RNA, internal transcribed spacer 2, and large subunit ribosomal RNA". The stretch from base 1 to 120 matches the Rfam family "5.8S ribosomal RNA", at positions 35 to 154 of the family's 154-position model. The record is from RNAcentral.
GAUGAAGAACGUAGCGAAAUGCGAUAAGUAGUGUGAAUUGCAGAAUUCAGUGAAUCAUCGAAUCUUUGAACGCACAUUGCGCCCCUUGGUAUCCCGAGGGGCAUGCCUGUUCGAGCGUCAUUUCACCACUCAAGCCUGGCUUGGUGUUGGGCGACGUCCUCUUUGGGGACGCGCCUCGAAACGCUCGGCGGCGUGGCACCGGCUUUAAGCGUAGCAGAAUCUUUCGCUUUGGAAGUCGGGGCCCCGUCUGCCGGAAGACCUGCUCGCAAGGUUGAGCUCGGAUCAGGCAGGGAUACCCGCUGAACUUAAGCAUAUCAAUAAGCGGAGGA